GAUGAACGCUGGCGGCGUGCCUAAUCCAUGCAAGUCGAGCGAACAGACGAGGAGCUUGCUCCUCUGACGUUAGCGGCGGACGGGUGAGUAACACGUGGAUAACCUACCUAUAAGACUGGGAUAACUUCGGGAAACCGGAGCUAAUACCGGAUAAUAUAUUAAACCGCAUGGUUCAAUAGUGAAAGACGGUUUUGCUUUCACUUAUAGAUGGAUCCGCGCCGCAUUAGCUAGUUGGUAAGGUAACGGCUUACCAAGGCAACGAUGCGUAGCCGACCUGAGAGGGUGAUCGGCCACACUGGAACUGAGACACGGUCCAGACUCCUACGGGAGGCAGCAGUAGGGAAUCUUCCGCAAUGGGCGAAAGCCUGACGGAGCAACGCCGCGUGAGUGAUGAAGGUCUUCGGAUCGUAAAACUCUGUUAUUAGGGAAGAACAAAUGUGUAAGUAACUAUGCACGUCUUGACGGUACCUAAUCAGAAAGCCACGGCUAACUACGUG
This 497-nucleotide ribosomal RNA is filed under the name uncultured bacterium. RNAcentral's name for it is "partial 16S ribosomal RNA". It matches the Rfam family "Bacterial small subunit ribosomal RNA", at positions 28 to 507 of the family's 1533-position model. The record is from RNAcentral.